GCGCCGUUAGCUCAGUUGGUAGAGCAGCUGACUCUUAAUCAGCGGGUCUGGGGUUCGAAACCCUGACGGCGCA
Molecule: transfer RNA, 73 nt
Filed under: Mycobacterium kubicae
Lineage: Bacteria; Bacillati; Actinomycetota; Actinomycetes; Mycobacteriales; Mycobacteriaceae
Description: tRNA-Lys
Rfam family: tRNA
About the family: Transfer RNA (tRNA) molecules are approximately 80 nucleotides in length. Their secondary structure includes four short double-helical elements and three loops (D, anti-codon, and T loops).
Source: RNAcentral